Molecule: ribosomal RNA, 856 nt
Filed under: Kellermania plurilocularis
Lineage: Eukaryota; Fungi; Ascomycota; Dothideomycetes; Botryosphaeriales; Planistromellaceae
Description: LSU rRNA
Rfam family: Eukaryotic large subunit ribosomal RNA
Source: RNAcentral
CAGGGAUGCCUCAGUAACGGCGAGUGAAGCGGCAACAGCUCAAAUUUGAAAUCUGGCGCCCUCGGCGUCCGAGUUGUAAUUUGUAGAGGAUGCUUCGGCGAGGGCUCCCGUCUAAGUCCCUUGGAACAGGGCGUCACAGAGGGUGAGAAUCCCGUACGUGAUGGGCUGCCCGAGCCGUGUGAAGCUCCUUCGACGAGUCGAGUUGUUUGGGAAUGCAGCUCUAAAUGGGAGGUAAAUUUCUUCUAAAGCUAAAUACCGGCCAGAGACCGAUAGCGCACAAGUAGAGUGAUCGAAAGAUGAAAAGCACUUUGGAAAGAGAGUUAAAAAGUACGUGAAAUUGUUGAAAGGGAAGCGCUUGCAACCAGACUCGCGCGCAGUUGCUCAGCCGGUCUCCUGACCGGCGUACUCUUCUGCGUCCGGGCCAGCAUCAGUUCGGGCGGCCGGAUAAAGGCCCCGGGAAUGUGGCUCCCCUCGGGGAGUGUUAUAGCCCGGGGUGCAAUGCGGCCAGCCCGGACUGAGGAACUCGCUUCGGCUAGGAUGCUGGCGUAAUGGUUGUAAGCGGCCCGUCUUGAAACACGGACCAAGGAGUCUAACAUCUAUGCGAGUGUUUGGGUGUCAAACCCAUGCGCGAAAUGAAAGUGAACGGAGGUGGGAACCCUCGCGGGUGCACCAUCGACCGAUCCUGAUGUCUUCGGAUGGAUUUGAGUAAGAGCAUAGCUGUUGGGACCCGAAAGAUGGUGAACUAUGCCUGAAUAGGGUGAAGCCAGAGGAAACUCUGGUGGAGGCUCGCAGCGGUUCUGACGUGCAAAUCGAUCGUCAAAUUUGGGUAUAGGGGCGAAAGACUAAUCGAACCAUU